ACAGCCAGACAUAAAGUAAGUGCAGAUCAGUGUGAUAAAAUAACCUGAGACAUUCACUCCCUUUAAUGAUCCAGCAGUUACAUACAACAUUUAUAAUUGCACAGAGAUGACACUCUUUACGUAAUUAUUUGAUUGGGGUGUGUUUCGACCCACAGCCAUUCACUGUUUGCAUAAAUCACCUCCAUAAAAAGAACUGAUGAGGUUUGCAGGUGACAUAACACAGCUCAAAUCCAUUGGUUUCUCAAGGAGCAACAACAUUAAAAAAGGCAGCUUACCCAACUAAAACACAAAGCAGGAGGCAGGCUAACAACACAAGAAACAUGGCAAUGGAAAUAAAAUUGCAGGAUAGCGGAGGUACGUUCCCAAUAAUUUACUAUUCCUAAAAAACUGGCAGGAGAAGUCUGUACACGUGAAAAUCUCAGUGUGUUUGGGAGACUUAAACAAAGUAUUGAUUUUUAAGAUUUUUUUUUCACUUUUUCAUCAUGUUACUGAGUGAAAUACUUGGCUUAAAAAUAUCCAUAUUUAUCCUUGAUAUGUUCAAUUUUGGCCUUCAAAAGAGCUAUUGUGAACAAGGCAAGUCUAGUAAUGUUUCGUGGAGUGCCCAGGAAUCAUUAAUGAAAAGCACUAUUGGAUGAGAUUUGCUUAGACUUUUCGUUUUUCUAAACUUGAAAUAUACUGUAAGAAAACAAUUCUAGGACUGAAGGGAGUAUUCAACACACACACACAAAACUUGCCCUUUUUGAUUGAGUUCCAUUUGGUUUUUAAGCCCCACUUCAGUUACCCUUCUCCCAGUUCCAGCAACGAAACUGAACGGGGUGUCUGGAAGAAAUCAUUCCUGUAAACUUCCACCAGCCUCCCCUGUCAUCCUCUUUGUUAUGUCAUCCACCCCUUACCCUUGGCAUGACAGUCACCCGAUAUCUGUAUGGAAACCUCCUGUCUCUUUCCCUGUGAUAAUUCUGAUACAUUCACCCAACAAACACACACACACACGUCACUGGUCAAGGCUGGAGAACUUUUACCUUCACCAUUUCUGUUCUCAUCCAUCUCUCUGUCACUCCCAGGGACAUGCAGGGUACUGUGUGCUCUCCCAGCUUGCUCAGGGCCAGGUCAGAGGAGCCAGGCGGGUCCUACGAGCGCACCUUGUGCUUCAGUGGAAUGUUGAGCAAACCCCCACCACAGGUCAGCUAGAUCCCUGGGGUGUCCCUGAAGGUUGUGUUUUCAUAGGAUCACAGAAACAGAGCAUGGGUUUGGUGGAAAGGGACUUUAAAGAUUAUCUAGUCCCACCUCCCCCUGCCAUGGACAGGGAUACCCCCCACUAGCCCAGGUUACUCCAAGCCCCAUCCAACCUGGCCCGGAACACUUCCAGGGGUGGGGCAGCCACAGCUUCUCUGGGUAACCUAUGCCAGGGCCUCACCACCCUCACAGGGAGGAAUUUCUUACCAAUAUCCCAUCUAACCCUGCCCUCUGCCAAUGGGAAGCCAUUACCCCUUGUUCUGUCCCUCUAGACCCUUGUCCAAAGUCCCUCUCCAGCUCUCUUGGAGCCCCUUUAGGCACUGGAAAGGGCUAUGAGGUCUCCCUGGAGCCUUCUCCAGGUUGAAACCCCCAGCUCUCCCAGCCUGUCUCCUGAGCAGAGCUGCUCCAGCCCUCGGAGCAUCUCCAUGGCCUCCUCUGGGCUGUCUCCAGCAACUCCAUGUCUUUUUUGUGUUGUGGUCCCCACAGCUGGAGCUGGGGUCUCACCUGAGUGGAGCAGAAAGGGAGAAUCCCUUCCCUCAUCCUGCUGGUCUCACCUCUUUGGAUGCAAUUUUUGCAUCUCUACCAUUGCUAUGCAACACCAGGGUCUCCUCUUUUGGCAAGGGCACACCACCCUCCACAGCAGAGUCUGCUUUUUUUAACCUGCAUCUCCACACAGAAAACAAGCCAGUGUCAAAGUGUCUUCCAAAAGGCCUGUAUCUACUUAUGCCACAGCUUAAUCCUUGGUUAGAGACACUGAGAGGUCCUGGAUCCGACUCCGUGAUCUGAUUGCACCACACACUGCUCUGCAAUACCAAAGAAUUUGGUGCUAAGUCUGAUGGGUGAGUUUGAGACGCAAGAGGGGAGGAGGUUGUGGAAUCCAGGUCCCAGUCCCCUUUGUCACCAUUACAUUAUCUCACAGAAAUAAGACAAAAGGUCUGGGGCAUGGGACCAAUGAUUUCAAAUCCAUUAGCGUGCCAAGGCAACUGAGGAUCACACUGCUGGGAUCCAGAGCCAGUACUAACACUUGCUUCAGUGGUGUUUCUUACCAUCCAAAAUGAUGCAGAAAAGUGAGGGUUAGUGGCUGGAGACAGUUCCUGGCUAAGGCUGGACCUUCACGCAGUGGAAGGGGGACAGGGCAAGUUCCUUCCUGGACCUCUCCAGAGGAACACUGGUCUCCCAUGCAUAUCAUUAGAGGCUAUACAUUCCUGGCAGCCAUGCACAACCCAAAUUUUCUGGCUGUCCAGACAGUGUAAUGUUGGAAAAAAACCCCCGAGUUGGGUGCCCAGAGAGCUGGAAGAUCCCUAGUCCCAGCCUCUUGCUCUCAGAGAGGUUCACUCCAGGGCCUCUGGGCUCCCUGGCAGCAUGAGCUCUGCUGGCUCCACACAGAUCUCCUGCAGUAAGAAACUCCACUCAGUGUUUAGAUGUGCCUCAUCACCCUCACAGUAAUCACAGAUAUGAAGCUGCCUUUAUCUUUCAAAUCAUGCUUCCCUCAAAAAAUGACAUCAGACAUUUUUCACUGUACUUGUCUUUCCCUAGAUCUGCACUGCCCUUGGAAUCACUAUUUCAGUUGUAUCUUAUCUCAGAUUUAAUUCUGUGAUUUUGUCUUGGCCGAGGUCAGUCACAGCACUGCCUUAGAGUACUCUGAGUACUGGGACUCUGGAACUCUUCCAGCCUCCUCCAACCUCCCUGCUGUCCCAGGGAUGGCUAAUGAUUAACAGACCCUGCCAGAGUUCUCCUCAGACAGUCCCUGGGUCUCUGAGAUGCAAGUUUUCUAGCUGAUUUUUAAACAUGGAUAGCUAACUGAUGGUAUUUAGCUACUUAAUGGACUGGAAACAUCCUGUUUUGACAAGUGAUUGUAGGGAGCCAGAUGGAAGAAAGCAGUUCCAAUGGGGAACAGCCUCACUGUGAUGACCUCAGGAGCCCAUACUCAGAUGUGGUUGCUUCUUAAACACCUAUCUCCCUUUCGGAUGAAAUGGGCAUUCCUGGAAGGAUCUGAGCCUGAGGUAAAACUGGAAGAGGUCAAACCAACCCAGCAGCGCAGUUCCCAUGGCUGCAGAGAAAAGCUCAGUGCUGUGACUGCCUGUUAAUCACCUGGAUUCAGGAAAAAAAGGAAAAUGUCUUUCAACAAAGAACAAACCUGAAAAACCCUGGAUGCAUAAGAGAAGGUCCUAAUGGCCAUAUUUGAGUAAAAUGGCUCAGCACUCGCCCCAAGAAUAGAACAUAUCCUUUAUUUACUUUUGAAAAAAAAUAUUUCGUUACUUAAAAUUUAUUAAAAUACUGUUUAUCUAGAAGAGCUUUUAAAAAGUGAAUGGCAUGUGGUGGUUUGCACCAAUUAUCUUCCUGAAUAAACAGUUACUUUACUUGCUACCUGGAAAUACAGUUUUGCUACCAACAA
Pseudopipra pipra is the source of this 3628-nucleotide RNA transcript. It is a transcript of the gene named melanocortin 2 receptor accessory protein, with no coding region annotated. Lineage: Eukaryota; Metazoa; Chordata; Aves; Passeriformes; Pipridae. The transcript is spliced from 2 exons. The record is from RefSeq and is a predicted model, not a curated record.